UACGGAGGGUGCAAGCGUUAUCCGGAUUUACUGGGCGUAAAGGGCGCGUAGGCGGCAAUUCAAGUCAUCUGUGAAAUCUCCGGGCUUAACUCGGAACGGUCAGAUGAUACUGCUUUGCUAGAAUGCGGAAGGGGCAAUCGGAAUUCUCGGUGUAGCGGUGAAAUGCGUAGAUAUCGAGAGGAACACCAGAGGUGAAGACGGGUUGCUGGGCCGACACUGACGCUGAGGCGCGAAAGCCAGGGGAGCAAACGGG
This 253-nucleotide ribosomal RNA is filed under the name uncultured bacterium. Its description in RNAcentral is "partial 16S ribosomal RNA". It matches the Rfam family "Bacterial small subunit ribosomal RNA", at positions 524 to 776 of the family's 1533-position model. The record is from RNAcentral.